UACGGGGGGGGUAAGCGUUGUUCGGAAUUACUGGGCGUAAAGGGCUCGUAGGCGGCCAACUAAGUCAUACGUGAAAUCCCUCAGCUUAACUGGGGAACUGCGUGUGAUACUGGAUGGCUUGGAUUUGGGAGAGGGAUGCGGAAUUCCAGGUGUAGCGGUGAAAUGCGUAGAUAUCUGGAGGAACACCGGUGGCGAAGGCGGCCCACUGGGUCUUUUCUGACGCUGAGGGACGAAAGCUAGGGGAGCGAACGGG
This 253-nucleotide ribosomal RNA is filed under the name uncultured bacterium. RNAcentral's name for it is "partial 16S ribosomal RNA". It matches the Rfam family "Bacterial small subunit ribosomal RNA", at positions 524 to 776 of the family's 1533-position model. The record is from RNAcentral.